UGAGGAAUAUUGGUCAAUGGGAGAGAUCCUGAACCAGCCAAGCCGCGUGAGGGAAGACGGCCCUAUGGGUUGUAAACCUCUUUUAUCGGAGAACAAAACCCGGGACGUGUCCCGGACUGCGUGUAUCCGAAGAAAAAGCAUCGGCUAACUCCGUGCCAGCAGCCGCGGUAAUACGGAGGAUGCGAGCGUUAUCCGGAUUUAUUGGGUUUAAAGGGUGCGUAGGCGGUCCGUUAAGUCAGCGGUAAAAUUGCGGGGCUCAACCCCGUCGAGCCGUUGAAACUGGCAGACUUGAGUUGGCGAGAA
Molecule: ribosomal RNA, 303 nt
Filed under: uncultured bacterium
Lineage: Bacteria
Description: bacterial SSU rRNA
Rfam family: Bacterial small subunit ribosomal RNA
Source: RNAcentral